This 510-nucleotide ribosomal RNA is filed under the name uncultured bacterium. Its description in RNAcentral is "bacterial SSU rRNA". It matches the Rfam family "Bacterial small subunit ribosomal RNA", at positions 19 to 518 of the family's 1533-position model. The record is from RNAcentral.
CUGGCUCAGGAUGAACGCUAGCUACAGGCUUAACACAUGCAAGUCGAGGGGCAGCAUGACGAUAGCUUGCUAUGUCGAUGGCGACCGGCGCACGGGUGAGUAACGCGUAUCCAACCUUCCCCUUAGUAGGGCAUAGCCCGGUGAAAAUCGGAUUAAUACCCUAUGUUAUUCGUCGAGGACAUCUGAAGUGAAUCAAAGAUUUAUCGCUAAGGGAUGGGGAUGCGUCUGAUUAGGUAGUCGGCGGGGUAACGGCCCACCGAGCCAUCGAUCAGUAGGGGUUCUGAGAGGAAGGUCCCCCACACUGGUACUGAGACACGGACCAGACUCCUACGGGAGGCAGCAGUGAGGAAUAUUGGUCAAUGGGCGCGAGCCUGAACCAGCCCAAGUAGCGUGCAGGAUGACGGCCCUAUGGGUUGUAAACUGCUUUUAUACGGGGAUAAAGUGAGGGACGUGUCCCUUUUUGUAGGUACCGUAUGAAUAAGGACCGGCUAAUUCCGUGCCAGCCGCCGC